Molecule: ribosomal RNA, 468 nt
Filed under: uncultured bacterium
Lineage: Bacteria
Description: partial 16S ribosomal RNA
Rfam family: Bacterial small subunit ribosomal RNA
Source: RNAcentral
GACGAACGCUGGCGGCGUGCUUAACACAUGCAAGUCGAACGGAAAGGCCCUGCUGUUGUGGGGUGCUCGAGUGGCGAACGGGUGAGUAACACGUGAGUAACCUGCCCUUGACUUUGGGAGAAAUUCAGGAAACUGGGGCUAAUACCGGAUAGGAGCUCCUGCUGCAUGGUGGGGGUUGGAAAGUUUCGGCGGUUGGGGAUGGACUCGCGGCUUAUCAGCUUGUUGGUGGGGUAGUGGCUUACCAAGGCUUUGACGGGUAGCCGGCCUGGGAGGGUGACCGGCCACAUUGGGACUGAGAUACGGCCCAGACUCCUACGGGAGGCAGCAGUGGGGAAUAUUGCACAAUGGGCGGAAGCCUGAUGCAGCAACGCCGCGUGCGGGAUGACGGCCUUCGGGUUGUAAACCGCUUUCGCCUGUGACGAAGCGUGAGUGACGGUAAUGGGUAAAGAAGCACCGGCUAACUACGUG